RNAcentral lists this long non-coding RNA (1289 nucleotides) under Olea europaea subsp. europaea. Lineage: Eukaryota; Viridiplantae; Streptophyta; Magnoliopsida; Lamiales; Oleaceae. The record is from RNAcentral.
AUUCUAACCAAAGAAGAAACUAUAGUCCUAAUUAAAUAAAAAAUAAAAGUCUUAUUACAACUAUACAAAAAAAUGAUAAAGACAACUAGUAAAGAUAGAGUUAAAACACGUGUUUCCUAUUAGGAAAUAACGUUUAUCUUAUUUCUUUACUUUUCGAAUUGAUUUUGGAUCUUCCCUUGGUAUUCUCUUGUAUUAAUCCCCUCCACUUCAAAACAACUCGACCCCAAGUUGUCAUCAAGAUACAAAGUCUUAACAAAGGAAAACUCAUUGAUUGAAUUUUUAAUGAUCAAAAAAUAUCUCCCUUCCACUUUAGAAGCUUUAUGUGUCUUCCCUGUUGCAAUCUUUUAUCCUUCCACUUGAACUUGUAGGUAUUAACUCUGCCCUUAUGUAUGUCAUCCACAUUAAUUUGCCAGGAUUUGUCUAGUAGAAUAUGAUACCCAUCGAAUUGAACAAAAUCACAAAUAACUUCUAAUUUGUGACAAGUCUCAAUUGGCAAAGGUACAUUACAAAUUUGAGUUAGCUGAAUAUACGAACCCUUCGGGUUACUUUCCUUAAUCCCAGAAGUGACGGAACUAUCUUCCCUUCCGAAAAGAGCUAAAUCAACUUGUCAAUCGGUUCAAUUGGAUGAUGCACCAGCUUCUUCGUGAUUAGAUUCUCACCAAUGCAACUAUCUAUGGUCUGACUGCAAAUAACAUCAUUAGCCUGAAACUUUUCAUGAUGAGUUAAAUCUUCCUGCUUGGAUGAGCACAAGACUUUCUCCACAUUACAUACGAAAUCUCCUUGUUCUUCUCCACAAAGUUCAUUCAUAUAUUCUUCAUCUUUCUCUUCCUUAUCUCUGACAUCCGAUUUGCCUUUUUCUACUACAAGUCUCCUGUUAUUUUCUCUUCGAACUACGGGCUCAGUAAUUUGUUUAUUGUUGAUUGCCUGUUGUUCUUUUUGCCCAUUGUUUCUAACACUCUACAGAAGCAGUUGACAAAUCUCUUCAAUCUGAAUAGUAAGAUUGUCAAGCCGCUCAUCAAUCCGUCGAUUUGUUAGAUCUAAAUUUUCCCUAGUAAUUGGUAUGUAACCCAUGCUAUAAAUAAAAGAUAUAGAUACGAGAAAGUCGGCUCUAAUACCACCUGAUGCAGGACGAAAACGUGGAUAAAAUAAAAGUGUCUACUUCGUAACACGAACGAGUGUUUGCUUGAAUUUCGCUCAAACGGACGUUAUAAUUAUUUGGAAUCCACCAAAUAAAUAUUGGAAUCCACCAAUAAAUGAGAAAACUAAAAUAGUUUAUUAAUCAAGAAUCG